CGAGCCGCACUUAGGAGUAGUGCUACCGUGACACUGUGUAAGGGAGAUGCCGAGAGGGGCGAACCUUGAGGCGAGGAGAUGCCGAGAGGGGCGAGCCUUGGGACAAGGAGAAGCCAAGAGGGUCGAGCCUUGGAAGCCCAAGGGCGAGCUUGAAGCUAAAGUGAGGACGAGUGGCAUUGUCGUAAUUAAGUGGAAGUUCGGGUUCGAGAUACUUCGGCUUGGAAUUUGGGAAAACUCAAAACACGAGAAAUGUCCGGGACGUCGAAACGAGUUCAACGCACUUGACGGCAUGUCAUUUGGAUUUUCUAUGAAUUAGUUAUGGACAAUUAGUCUCCUCGGCUAUUUUGAUGUUUCCUCCUGCCAAGUUCAUGUAAGCAAGAUAUGCUCUAUAGGGGGAGACAUGGUGUCAAGCUCUCCACCACCCCCGGUGCUGGCCUUCAUGGGGCACUAAGUGAGCUUCUCCCGGGCACCCGUGGGGGCCUAGGGGACCGGGCAUGUGUCGUCAAAAGGGGCGGCAUAUGUUUCCACGAGUCAGGAUGUCUCGUGGACGGUGUUGGCCGAAAGGCCGAUAUUGCGGGUCGACGUCGGGGACGAGGUUCGG
RNAcentral lists this long non-coding RNA (601 nucleotides) under Rosa chinensis. Its description in RNAcentral is "sRNA RchiOBHm_Chr1g0348521". Lineage: Eukaryota; Viridiplantae; Streptophyta; Magnoliopsida; Rosales; Rosaceae. The record is from RNAcentral.